GACGAACGCUGGCGGCGUGCUUAACACAUGCGAGUCGAACGGAAAGGCCCUGCUUGGAGGGUACUCGAGUGGCGAACGGGUGAGUAACACGUGGGUGAUCUGCCCUGCACUUCGGGAUAAGCCUGGGAAACUGGGUCUAAUACCGGAUAGGAGCCAUUUUUAGUGUGAUGGUUGGAAAGUUUUUUCGGUGUAGGAUGAGCUCGCGGCCUAUCAGCUUGUUGGUGGGGUAAUGGCCUACCAAGGCGGCGACGGGUAGCCGGCCUGAGAGGGUGGACGGCCACAUUGGGACUGAGAUACGGCCCAGACUCCUACGGGAGGCAGCAGUGGGGAAUAUUGCACAAUGGGCGCAAGCCUGAUGCAGCGACGCCGCGUGGGGGAUGACGGCCUUCGGGUUGUAAACUCCUUUCGCUAGGGACGAAGCUUUUUGUGACGGUACCUAGAUAAGAAGCACCGGCUAACUACGUG
Molecule: ribosomal RNA, 465 nt
Filed under: uncultured bacterium
Lineage: Bacteria
Description: partial 16S ribosomal RNA
Rfam family: Bacterial small subunit ribosomal RNA
Source: RNAcentral